Long non-coding RNA from Panthera uncia (snow leopard), 328 nucleotides. RefSeq lists it as uncharacterized. The record is from RefSeq and is a predicted model, not a curated record. NCBI's taxonomy places the organism in Eukaryota, Metazoa, Chordata, Mammalia, Carnivora, Felidae. The transcript has 3 exons.
CUUGGGACCAUUAAAAGAGGGACAUGGGGCCCUGAGGAUAGCUUCGAGACUUGAAUAUGAGGGACCCACACCCCUGGAACCAAACAUGCCUCUCCCUGUCCCCAGAGUACAGCAGGACCCGAACGGAGCCUGGACAGACGGACAUGUCCAAACUCUCAACAUCUGGCCACAUGGUGUUUGACGUGGGCUCCGUGAGAUGAGGCUGCUUCCAGGAACUCCGUCUCUUCCCUGGCUGCAACCCUGAUGCUGGCAGCUGGUGGCCGGCAGAGCCAGAGCGUGAGGCCCACAGGGUGGCGCCGCCAGAACAGGAGCACCAGUUUGAUGGAAG